Molecule: ribosomal RNA, 496 nt
Filed under: uncultured bacterium
Lineage: Bacteria
Description: partial 16S ribosomal RNA
Rfam family: Bacterial small subunit ribosomal RNA
Source: RNAcentral
GAUGAACGCUGGCGGCGUGCCUAAUACAUGCAAGUCGAGCGAACAGACGAGGAGCUUGCUCCUCUGACGUUAGCGGCGGACGGGUGAGUAACACGUGGAUAACCUACCUAUAAGACUGGGAUAACUUCGGGAAACCGGAGCUAAUACCGGAUAAUAUUUUGAACCGCAUGGUUCAAAAGUGAAAGACGGUCUUGCUGUCACUUAUAGAUGGAUCCGCGCUGCAUUAGCUAGUUGGUAAGGUAACGGCUUACCAAGGCAACGAUGCAUAGCCGACCUGAGAGGGUGAUCGGCCACACUGGAACUGAGACACGGUCCAGACUCCUACGGGAGGCAGCAGUAGGGAAUCUUCCGCAAUGGGCGAAAGCCUGACGGAGCAACGCCGCGUGAGUGAUGAAGGUCUUCGGAUCGUAAAACUCUGUUAUUAGGGAAGAACAUAUGUGUAAGUAACUGUGCACAUCUUGACGGUACCUAAUCAGAAAGCCACGGCUAACUACGU